GAGGAGGUAGCUCAGUGGUAGAGCAAUUGCUUCACAUGUAUGAGGCCUUGGGUUCCACCCUCUACCCCCCCC
RNAcentral lists this transfer RNA (72 nucleotides) under Marmota marmota marmota (Alpine marmot). It matches the Rfam family "tRNA". Rfam says of the family: Transfer RNA (tRNA) molecules are approximately 80 nucleotides in length. Their secondary structure includes four short double-helical elements and three loops (D, anti-codon, and T loops). Further hydrogen bonds mediate the characteristic L-shaped molecular structure. tRNAs have two regions of fundamental functional importance: the anti-codon, which is responsible for specific mRNA codon recognition, and the 3' end, to which the tRNAs corresponding amino acid is attached (by aminoacyl-tRNA synthetases). tRNAs cope with the degeneracy of the genetic code in two manners: having more than one tRNA (with a specific anti-codon) for a particular amino acid; and 'wobble' base-pairing, i.e. permitting non-standard base-pairing at the 3rd anti-codon position. The record is from Rfam by way of RNAcentral. Lineage: Eukaryota; Metazoa; Chordata; Mammalia; Rodentia; Sciuridae. RNAcentral also lists the same sequence under 1 other name.